Molecule: long non-coding RNA, 1525 nt
Filed under: Homo sapiens (human)
Lineage: Eukaryota; Metazoa; Chordata; Mammalia; Primates; Hominidae
Description: long non-coding RNA NONHSAT207187.1
Source: RNAcentral
CUUGAGCUGGAGCACCCUUGGGGCAGGUGGGGCCCUGACCCAGUGAGGCCAGCCUGGCUGCGGCCACCUACCCUGUGCCAGGUGCUGCCAGACCGCGACGGAAAGCGCUGCAUGUUCUGUGUGAAGACAGCCAACCGCACGUAUGAGAUGAGCGCCUCAGACACGCGCCAGCGCCAGGAGUGGACAGCUGCCAUCCAGAUGGCGAUCCGGCUGCAGGCCGAGGGGAAGACGUCCCUACACAAGGACCUGAAGCAGAAACGGCGCGAGCAGCGGGAGCAGCGGGAGCGGCGCCGGGCGGCCAAGGAAGAGGAGCUGCUGCGGCUGCAGCAGCUGCAGGAGGAGAAGGAGCGGAAGCUGCAGGAGCUGGAGCUGCUGCAGGAGGCGCAGCGGCAGGCCGAGCGGCUGCUGCAGGAGGAGGAGGAACGGCGCCGCAGCCAGCACCGCGAGCUGCAGCAGGCGCUCGAGGGCCAACUGCGCGAGGCGGAGCAGGCCCGGGCCUCCAUGCAGGCUGAGAUGGAGCUGAAGGAGGAGGAGGCUGCCCGGCAGCGGCAGCGCAUCAAGGAGCUGGAGGAGAUGCAGCAGCGGUUGCAGGAGGCCCUGCAACUAGAGGUGAAAGCUCGGCGAGAUGAAGAAUCUGUGCGAAUCGCUCAGACCAGACUGCUGGAAGAGGAGGAAGAGAAGCUGAAGCAGUUGAUGCAGCUGAAGGAGGAGCAGGAGCGCUACAUCGAACGGGCGCAGCAGGAGAAGGAAGAGCUGCAGCAGGAGAUGGCACAGCAGAGCCGCUCCCUGCAGCAGGCCCAGCAGCAGCUGGAGGAGGUGCGGCAGAACCGGCAGAGGGCUGACGAGGAUGUGGAGGCUGCCCAGAGAAAACUGCGCCAGGCCAGCACCAACGUGAAACACUGGAAUGUCCAGAUGAACCGGCUGAUGCAUCCAAUUGAGCCUGGAGAUAAGCGUCCGGUCACCAGCAGCUCCUUCUCAGGCUUCCAGCCCCCUCUGCUUGCCCACCGUGACUCCUCCCUAAAGCGCCUGACCCGCUGGGGAUCCCAGGGCAACAGGACCCCCUCGCCCAACAGCAAUGAGCAGCAGAAGUCCCUCAAUGGUGGGGAUGAGGCUCCUGCCCCGGCUUCCACCCCUCAGGAAGAUAAACUGGAUCCAGCACCAGAAAAUUAGCCUCUCUUAGCCCCUUGUUCUUCCCAAUGUCAUAUCCACCAGGACCUGGCCACAGCUGGCCUGUGGGUGAUCCCAGCUCUUACUAGGAGAGGGAGCUGAGGUCCUGGUGCCAGGGGCCCAGGCCCUCCAACCAUAAACAGUCCAGGAUGGAACCUGGUUCACCCUUCAUACCAGCUCCAAGCCCCAGACCAUGGGAGCUGUCUGGGAUGUUGAUCCUUGAGAACUUGGCCCUGUGCUUUAGACCCAAGGACCCGAUUCUUGGGCUAGGAAAGAGAGAACAAGCAAGCCGGGGCUACCUGCCCCCAGGUGGCCACCAAGUUGUGGAAGCACAUUUCUAAAUAAAAACUGCUCUUAG